Molecule: long non-coding RNA, 1445 nt
Filed under: Chrysemys picta bellii (western painted turtle)
Lineage: Eukaryota; Metazoa; Chordata; Testudines; Emydidae
Description: lncRNA (ENSCPBG00000008780.1)
Source: RNAcentral
CGGAGGGUAUGAGGUCACCACGGGCAACGAUGUCCUGAGCAACACCAUGGGCUCUGGAGGAGUAAUCGGCGUGGGAGACACCCGCUACAAGUGGCUGGCGUGGAGCAAGUGGUAUUGCAACUGUGAGAUGGGUAGCAUGUCCCGGGUGCGGGACAUUGCCUACACGAGGCCCGGCCUGCAGCUAGAUCUGGACGACUACAACGCCCUGCGCUUCCAGCGCGUGGCUUGCAGCUAUGGCCACUGCAAGUGCAGCCACAAGCACCGUGAGUGCGACCAUGCCAAGGUGACCUGCAAUGCUCCCAACCCCUACCUGUGCGCUGUCAGGGACGUCCGGCAGGCCCGGUACCGCCAGGCUCGGCACUUCUGGAUACGAGUCCGCACGGAGCUCAAGGGGCUGUGGAAGAGCAUCCGAAAGGCCUUCUCCCAGCUCGAGGAGUACAGCUGAAGAUGAACUCUGAAUUCAAGGUUAAGCAGCUGCAGUCUCUGUUAGCAGCAGUUGGCAAUAGCAAUCAAUCACGCUAGUGCCUCCAAUGAAAUCUAUAGUAAAUGCUCUUUACAAAUCAGUAUCUACUCCUGUGCUUUAGUGGGAAAGUCUAUUGUUUCUAAAGGUGAGUGUCAUUUCAGCCCCUGUUCUGAGGCACGCUUGAACAAGAGAAGCCCCGAUGACCUGGACACUGGGAGGUUGGCAGUGCCACUGUACCCCCAUUGCUUUCCUCACCCACCAAGAGAGAACACAGCUGGGGCAGGGCGUAGGAUGCUAGACUAGAAGACCUAUCUUCAGGUCCCUCCUUUGCUACAGACGUGGCCCUUAGCCUCUCGGUAUCUCAAUUCCCCAUUUGUACAACAGGACUGCCCUACCUCACAGGGCGGUGUGAGGAUAAAUACAUUAAAUAGUGGGAGGUGCUCAGAUACUGUAGCUAAGCUAGAACCCAGGCAAAGGUAGUCUUCCUCCUCGCUUUGAAAUAGCCAGUUGCUAAAGGUCAAAAGUUUUCAGCAGGUAGAUCUGAAAAAGCCCUUUUAGACCAUCUAGUCUGAUUACCUGCCUGAAUGAAAUUGAUUUUGCCUAUAGCAAACAUAACAGCUAGUAAUAGAUUGAUCUCAACUUUUAUAGCUUUAAAAAGAAAAGGAUUGUUACUUAAACACAGAGGAGUUACUGCCAAUUGCACCAAGACAGUGCAGAACUACCCAUGGACGUGUUACUGUAGGGCUUCUCCUGCGUUCUUGGUAUCAAAUUUAAGUACAGGGCAGUAGGUCAAAUUUUGGAGCUCCCCAACUUGAACAUUAUCACUUUAAGUUGCAAGCAUGCUGGUAUCAUUGCUGUUGGUAAAACAUUAAUAGUCCAGACCUAUUAACCAUAAAAGUAUAAUGUUUGCGAUAACCCCCUCUUAAUAGAUGAAGGGCCUAAUUCUGACCUCACCUUGAUUUUACUCAAGAUUUUAGCUGGU